RNAcentral lists this ribosomal RNA (253 nucleotides) under uncultured bacterium. RNAcentral describes it as "partial 16S ribosomal RNA". It matches the Rfam family "Bacterial small subunit ribosomal RNA", at positions 524 to 776 of the family's 1533-position model. The record is from RNAcentral.
GACAGAGGGUGCAAACGUUGUUCGGAAUUACUGGGCGUAAAGCGUGUGUAGGCGGCUAUGUGAGUCGGAUGUGAAAGCCCCGGGCUCAACCCGGGAAGUGCACUCGAUACUGCGUAGCUUGAGUCUCGGAGAGGUUGGUGGAAUUCUCGGUGUAGAGGUGAAAUUCGUAGAUAUCGAGAGGAACACCGGUGGCGAAGGCGGCCAACUGGACGAAGACUGACGCUGAGACACGAAAGCGUGGGGAGCAAACAGG